CCAGACUCCUACGGGAGGCAGCAGUGGGGAAUAUUGGGCAAUGGGCGCAAGCCUGACCCAGCAACGCCGCGUGAAGGAAGAAGGCUUUCGGGUUGUAAACUUCUUUUGUCAGGGACGAAGCAAGUGACGGUACCUGACGAAUAAGCCACGGCUAACUACGUGCCAGCAGCCGCGGUAAUACGUAGGUGGCAAGCGUUAUCCGGAUUUAUUGGGUGUAAAGGGCGUGUAGGCGGGAAUGCAAGUCAGCGGUAAAAUGUCGGGGCUCAACCCCGUCGUGCCGUUGAAACUGGCGUUCUUGAGUGAGCGAGAAGUAUGCGGAAUGCGUGGUGUAGCGGUGAAAUGCAUAGAUAUCACGCAGAACUCCGAUUGCGAAGGCAGCAUACCGGCGCUCAACUGACGCUCAUGCACGAAAGCGUGGGUAUCGAACAGGAUUAGAUACCCGCGUAUC
Molecule: ribosomal RNA, 448 nt
Filed under: uncultured bacterium
Lineage: Bacteria
Description: bacterial SSU rRNA
Rfam family: Bacterial small subunit ribosomal RNA
Source: RNAcentral